AGAGUUUGAUCAUGGCUCAGGACGAACGCUGGCGGCGUGCUUAACACAUGCAAGUCGAACGGUGACGAUUGGAGCUUGCUCUGAUCUGAUCAGUGGCGAACGGGUGAGUAACACGUGGGUAAUCAACCCUUGACACUGGGAUAGCCCGGGGAAACCCGGAUUAAUACCGGAUACUCCAUCUGGCUUUCGGGCCGGCUGGAAAAGGUAGCUUCGGCCUCCGGUCAGGGACGAGCCCGCGGCGGAUUAGCUUGUUGGCGGGGUAAAAGCCCACCAAGGCGACGAUCCGUAGCUGGUCUGAGAGGACGAUCAGCCACACUGGGACUGAGACACGGCCCAGACUCCUACGGGAGGCAGCAGUUAGGAAUUUUGGGCAAUGGGCGAAAGCCUGACCCAGCAACGCCGCGUGGGUGACGAAGGCCUUCGGGUUGUAAAGCCCUUUUCUGGGGGAAGAUGAUGACGGUACCCCAGGAAGAAGCACCGGCUAACUACGUGCCAGCAGCCGCGGUAAUAC
Molecule: ribosomal RNA, 511 nt
Filed under: uncultured bacterium
Lineage: Bacteria
Description: bacterial SSU rRNA
Rfam family: Bacterial small subunit ribosomal RNA
Source: RNAcentral